GCGACCUCAGGUCAGGCGGGGCUACCCGCUGAGUUAA
RNAcentral lists this ribosomal RNA (37 nucleotides) under Amicia medicaginea. RNAcentral's name for it is "partial large subunit ribosomal RNA". The record is from RNAcentral. Lineage: Eukaryota; Viridiplantae; Streptophyta; Magnoliopsida; Fabales; Fabaceae.